Molecule: long non-coding RNA, 1324 nt
Organism: Oncorhynchus tshawytscha (Chinook salmon)
Lineage: Eukaryota; Metazoa; Chordata; Actinopteri; Salmoniformes; Salmonidae
Source: Ensembl
CAACAGCGCUCUGAUCGAGUGAAGCUUACAUCGAGAGGUGGCGAGCGACUGCGGGUUUUCAUCCCGAAACCUGAAGAAAAUACAAUUUAAAACGCUCAUGACCAGUAUACUAGCAUCACAACUGAGAUUCUAUUUUUUAACCUUCAAGAAGAAUACGUCAAGUUGACCUAAAGAAGCAAGUAAUCCAGACAGGGAAGCUACCAAGCGAAUGUCCAAGAGACUGCCAGCUAGCUAAUGUAGCUAGCUUGGAUCAGAAGAAUCCUAAACCACGAUCUGGUGUGAAAACAUUGCUAUUUUGUAUCGAUUUAUUCUCUGUGUAGCAACAAAGUAGCCAGCCAGGGAAUACAAUCAGAAAUCAAGCUUGCUGCUGGGCCAUGUUGAAACAACAGCCCAGCUCAUGUGGGCGAAAAACAUCCAACUGGACUCCGGGCCCUGCCAGUAUGUCUUCCACGGCCAGUGGAAUCAACAACAGAGCACAGGUUGGGAGGUGAGUGAAAUUAGGAUGUCCAGAUAGGAAAGGCUGGUGAUUUUUAUCAUGGCUUCAAGGCCUACCGGUCAAAGCAUGUGUAGCUUGUUGUGGUGGGAAAUGGGGUUAUGUUGAUGGGCCUGUGAAAAUAUAUUGUGCGUGAUUGACAAGUUCUUAUGGAAGCUAUUUCAAGGCACCAAGAAGAGAUGUCAUCUAUCAGUUGACAAGAGGUUACUACAUGCCACGCCCACUAUGCCACACCCACUGUGCUGCUAGCACUGUCUCUGGUCCACACUCCAGCGCAGUAGGUGGCGGUAAUGUACCAAUAACGUUGGAUGCCACCCUCCGAAAACCCCUCCGAAGGAGGCUGCUAGCUAGGGGACACCGGUGCACUAUGGGAGAAUCUCAAUUGCCUACUCCUCGCGUCCUCUGUCCUUUCUCCUUGCUUCUUUCUCAAAACCCAUUGGAUGAGGAAGCCAGAGGUCCCUCCUCCCUGACCACCUUCAAUGGGUUUUGAGAAGGUGAGGAGAGACACAAGGAGUGUGAAAUUGAGAUUCCCCCGGUGUAUUUUGCCCCCGCAUCCCAAAAACUGUUUUCUGUUAACAUUACUUAGAGGGAAGUAGCUAGCGAGCAGCCUCAAUGGCAGUGGGCGCUGGAUGUCGUGACAAGUAGUGGGCACGCCAUGUAGUAACCGCGGUCCGCAGAUGGAGUUGUGACAGUACGUCGUUUUUGUGAGACAGUAAGUUGUUAUUGUGAGAUACGUUUAGGCGAUAUGUAUCACAUGAAUUCAAUGUGCACUUUGCAUCAGGCCCGCCUCAACUUCCAAGGAUAAUCUUAUGUAUAGCCUAUAGUCAAUCA